AGUGAACGCUGGCGGUAGGCCUAACACAUGCAAGUCGAACGGCAGCACAGUAAGAGCUUGCUCUUACGGGUGGCGAGUGGCGGACGGGUGAGGAAUACAUCGGAAUCUACUUUUUCGUGGGGGAUAACGUAGGGAAACUUACGCUAAUACCGCAAACGACCUACGGGUGAAAGCAGGGGAUCUUCGGACCUUGCGCGAUUGAAUGAGCCGAUGUCGGAUUAGCUAGUUGGCGGGGUAAGGGCCCACCAAGGCGACGAUCCGUAGCUGGUCUGAGAGGAUGAUCAGCCACACUGGAACUGAGACACGGUCCAGACUCCUACGGGAGGCAGCAGUGGGGAAUAUUGGACAAUGGGCGCAAGCCUGAUCCAGCCAUACCGCGUGGGUGAAGAAGGCCUUCGGGUUGUAAAGCCCUUUUGUUGGGAAAGAAAAGCAGCAGGUUAAUACCCCGCUGUUCUGACGGUACCCAAAGAAUAAGCACCGGCUAACUUCGUG
Molecule: ribosomal RNA, 492 nt
Filed under: uncultured bacterium
Lineage: Bacteria
Description: partial 16S ribosomal RNA
Rfam family: Bacterial small subunit ribosomal RNA
Source: RNAcentral